This 347-nucleotide unclassified non-coding RNA is filed under the name soil metagenome. Its description in RNAcentral is "partial contains 5.8S ribosomal RNA, internal transcribed spacer 2, and large subunit ribosomal RNA". The stretch from base 1 to 122 matches the Rfam family "5.8S ribosomal RNA", at positions 35 to 154 of the family's 154-position model. The record is from RNAcentral.
GAUGAAGGAACGUAGCGAAAUGCGAUAAGUAAUGCGAAUUGCAGAAUUUCCGUGAGUCAUCGAAUCUUUGAACGCACAUUGCGCCCACUGGUAUUCCGGUGGGCAUGCCUGUUCGAGCGUCAUUAUCCUCCCUCAAACCCCGGGUUUGGUGUUGGACCGAAGUUGUGUGAACAACUGGUCUAAAAAACAAUGACGGCGUCCGUGGGACCCUCGGUGCAACGAGCUUUUAGGAGCACGCGCCGAGUUGCAAGGACCUUCCGGGCCGGUCUCCUUUUACUAUUUUACAAGGUUGACCUCGGAUCAGGUAGGAAUACCCGCUGAACUUAAGCAUAUCAAUAAGCGGAGGA